CCUGGACAAACACUAAAGACUUACUAGGGGGCUUAAGGAGUUUCAAAGACCUCCUACCUCUGAAAAAAAUCCACUUCCCCUAAAUUAAAUUACUCGAUUCACCAAAGAGUGCAGUUUUGCAAAUGACAGGAGUGGAAUUUCAUCACAGGAUAACACCGGACAUGUUGAACACAGAAUAAGCGAAUUUUCUGGUCGUAAAUUGGCGAUAAAUCAUGCCAAAUCCGAACAAUUUUACACCCAUUUGAAAAUGUUAAAAGGAAGCAGUUUCAAUCCUGAUGACGGUUAAUGUUAAUGAUUAUUUAAUUUCAAUAGGAUUAUUUAUUAAAGACAGACUUCCACUCUUAUUUAGUAGCCCCUAUGAAUGUAGUUUUUAAAUCUGUACACAUUGAAUGACGAAAAAAUUAGAAAUCUUUCAAAAUUCUUAAUUUGUUUACGUUUCUUUAUUUCUUUGGAAGCGCCAAAAGCUGACAUGAUUUAUGGAACAAUUAGCAGUGUUUUAUUUAUUAUGAUAAAUACACAUGUUAAUUAAUUUACAUGAGAAAGAAAUUUACCUCGACCUCACUUAAUACUCUUGUAUACCAAUUAAAUAUUCAGAAGGAAAAAAGCUAUCUUUCCGAAUGCAUUUUCAUGAUUUCUUACGUCUCUCCUUGUGUUUUAUGUAAACACAAAAAUUUUGCAGUCACGCAAACAAUAUAGCUAAAAAGGAGAUAUGGAGAAAGUGUGUUCCUAAUGAGACCCAAAGGAAUGAAAUUAAUUAUUCUGUUUCGAACAUCACUGCAUGCACAUUUCUUUGACGCCAAUAGUUUUAAAUUUAUGCAAGCUCAAAUGAAAAUUUCAUCAGCAUGUAAAUUUCGCAACGUUCAUUUGAAAUUGUAAAUAACGGUGUGUGAUUACAAGAACUCUACAGAUCAGAUAGAGUACUAACUGAAUGUGGUAACAGACAAAUGUUCCUUAUAGAUAGUAGAGCUUUUGUCUGAAUACGUGACAUGUUCUUGAUAAAAUAAUUUUAUAUGUCGUUAUCUUUUUUUUCAUAAUAGUGUAGGUUUUGUUCCUUAGAAAUUGUUGUUGAAAACCUUUUAUAUGUAUAUAUACCAUUUUCCUCAUGAUAAACAUAAAGAAGCUUAUAAAAUAAAUUGUAUAUUCUUUUCA
Saccostrea cuccullata (small rock oyster) is the source of this 1149-nucleotide long non-coding RNA. RefSeq lists it as uncharacterized. NCBI's taxonomy places the organism in Eukaryota, Metazoa, Mollusca, Bivalvia, Ostreida, Ostreidae. The record is from RefSeq and is a predicted model, not a curated record. The transcript is spliced from 2 exons.